AAUCUACUUGUUCGAUUCCUUAAACGGAUAACUGCGGUAAUUCUGGAGCCAAUACGUGCUAAAAAGCCGACGUAGCAAUACGGCGGUUGCACUUAUCGGAGCAAAAUCAAUCUUGAUUCGAUGCUAACUCUGGAUAACCAAGCUUAUCGCAUGGCGCAAGCCGGCGAAGUAACAUUCGAGUAUCUGCCCUAUCAUCUAUCGUAGGUAGUGUAUUGGACUACCCAGGAUGUAACGGGUAACGGAGAAUCAGGGUUCGACUCCGGAGAGGGAGCCUUAGAAACGGCUACCAUCGCUAAGGCGAGCAGCAGGCGCGCAACUUAUCCACUGUCCACUCGGACGAGAUAGUGACGAGAAAUAACAAGUUCGUUCUCUUUGAGGUCGAGCAUUGGAAUGGACCGAAUGUAAACGAUUCGGUGAGUACCCACGAGAGGGCAAGUCUGGUGCCAGCAGCCGCGGUAAUUCCAGCUCUCGUAAUGUAUAGAAUUAUUGUUGCGGUUAAAAAGUUCGUAGUUGGAUUUCAUACCGUUUGUGGGUCGUGUCUAACGACGCGCUACUCACGACGGUGUUUCUACAGAGACGGCUUCGGCCGCCUCUAUAGGGAUUACUUUGAACGGCUUAAGUGCUCAAGGCGAGUCUUCGGACUGAAUACCGGUGCAUGGAAUAAUGGAACAAGGUUUCGACUGAGUUUUAUUGGUUUUGUCGGUUGAGACAAUGGUUAACAGGAACAGCUGGGGGGCACUCGUAUCCCGGCGCGAGAGGUGAAAUUCGUGGACCGUCGGGAGACGCCCUAAAGCGAAA
This 798-nucleotide ribosomal RNA is filed under the name Nematoda environmental sample. Its description in RNAcentral is "bacterial SSU rRNA". It matches the Rfam family "Eukaryotic small subunit ribosomal RNA", at positions 114 to 950 of the family's 1831-position model. Lineage: Eukaryota; Metazoa; Nematoda. The record is from RNAcentral.